GGCCGCCUGGCGAAAUGGUAUCGCGUCUGACUACGAUUCGUAUUAAUCAGGAGAUUGCAGGUUCGAGCCCUGCGGUGGUCA
This is a non-coding RNA of Rhizoctonia solani AG-1 IB, 81 nucleotides long. Lineage: Eukaryota; Fungi; Basidiomycota; Agaricomycetes; Cantharellales; Ceratobasidiaceae. The record is from Rfam.